CUUCAUUUGAGACUGAAUCCACUGUAGGACAUUCCCAUUUUCAUCCAUUUUGCAGAGAGCAAUAAACUCAACGUUUAGUCCUGCCACUACAAAGUUCAGCUUAGAGGUGCCUGCAGUGAAUUCUUGUGACCCAGUGUGAAGACACUAUUGGAAGAUGCCAGGCUUCACCUCCCCCCCCAUUUAAUACUACUAGUCAAAAGCCAAGUGAGAUUUGGAUGGAACUUUUACAUGAGGAUUCUUAAGUUGGUCUCAGUUUAACCAGGAGAUGGUGCUGUUGCGUAAAGCACUUGCUGAAUUCUGGGAAAGUCUGAAUAUUAAGAACUUUACUGCUAACACUUACUGUAUUUUGGGAGUCAUCAAUUCUACCAAGUGCUGCACAAUCUGAAUUUCUGAAUUCUGUAAAAAGCCUUUAAAAUAAAAUUUAUAUGGUUCUACCA
Suricata suricatta (meerkat) is the source of this 437-nucleotide long non-coding RNA. RefSeq lists it as uncharacterized. Lineage: Eukaryota; Metazoa; Chordata; Mammalia; Carnivora; Herpestidae. The transcript has 2 exons. The record is from RefSeq and is a predicted model, not a curated record.